RNAcentral lists this transfer RNA (69 nucleotides) under Caudoviricetes sp. RNAcentral describes it as "tRNA-OTHER". Lineage: Duplodnaviria; Heunggongvirae; Uroviricota; Caudoviricetes. The record is from RNAcentral.
CCGUGUAUCACAUGGUAAGCCAUACUCCUAAGCGACAGGCCGUGGGUUCGAAUCCCGCCGGGAUCACCA